ACAUGGAAGAUUUGGCCUCAGGGAAUAAAGCUCAGGAAAAAAAAAAAGAAAAAAAGUUUGAAAAAAUCCAACUACAUUUUUUAAACUUAAAAAGUGCUCUAAUUUCACCUGGUUGGUGAUUGCAGAGAGAAGCUAAUUAAAGCCAAUGGAGAAUUUUAAAAGUGAAGAGAAAAAACAAAUUAGGGCAGCAGGAGGAAAAUAAGUUUUCUAAUUAUAUAUAAUGAGGAUACUUUUUGCAUAGUGCAAGAAGGAAAUGUAUACCUUUUCUAUUAUAUCUAGACUAUGAUGAUUUCUGCUGUGUGGCCCAGGAUGCUACCCAUAUAGCUGCAUGUACCUACCACGAUCAAGAGUCACAGAUGAAAGAUGUUUGCUACAGAUUGCCCAAGAUUUCUGAGGAAGGAGUAAAGAGAUAAAAGAGUCAGUCCUUAUUCUAAAGAAAGAAGCCAGCCUAAACUUGGAAAUUCAAAGUUAAAGAUGACAUUCUGCAUUCAAUUCAUCCUCUGGUGCCUUGUUAUUGAAGAACAUAUAAUGCUAACAUCACACGCAGAUCUGAGGCUCCACCAUUACCUAAGCACAACAGGCUCAAGCCACAACACUCUGUUCAGUCUGGCCAGUCUUCUUCUUCUCAUGUUUGGGCAUGUGGGGACAGACCGCUCCUGCGCCAUUAAGAUUUCCUUCUUCAAGAGUGCCCAGCCUUCCUGGACUCGUCUGCCCUUCAGAACCACCUCCCAAGGGACUCUACCAUCCAGUGUCCUGAACAGCUCAAAGUCAGCCUUCUGGAAGUCCAAGACUGCGGUUUUAUUUAUCCCCCUCCUGACUUCAGCAAGAAUAGAGAACUCUACCAUUUUGUGGUCACUCUGCCCAAGAUUGGAAAGCUGGGGAACAAGACCUUUUUUUUUUUUCAGCUUUUAUUUUUAUUUUUUUUAUCCAUGCUUUCUUAAACUAGACAUACAAAUGUUGAAGGAAACAAAGUGUGAUAGUUUCAGUAAACUUCAGUUGAGUCAAGAUUUUCAAGAAAUGUGUAUUGCAAAAGCCAGACUUAGAGACACUAUCAUUAAUUUGGAUACUUUUAUUUUACUCCUAACAAGGACACCAAUCUCUUUCAAGAAUCCUAAUUGUUCCUACUCAGAAGCCAUUAAAAAUUAUAUAUUGUAUUAUACUGAGAGUUCAUUUAAUUUAAAUGUUAGAAUUUUGUAAACAUUGGUAUUAUAUUAUGUUCCAUUCAUUCGUUUGAUUCUCUGGUACAUUAGACGGGGAAUAUAUACAUGCAUUGCAUUUUGGAGAUUUUAUUUUAAGGGUUGCUUUAAUGAAUUCUUAAUUACAUUAUUCAAACGAUCCAUUAUUCAGCAUUCAUCUCACUUCUAAAUGAAAGUCUUCACCUGACAUGUGAAUGAAAUGAGUCUAAAUGCUUUCUAUGCCACCUAGGGAUUCGUAAUAAACUUCUUGCUGAAUGGCAGCAGUGGGUUUUCUUUCUGUUUUAAAUUUUUGUGGAUUGUUUGUAGAGAAGGACAGGUACAAAACACUCAGCUGUCCUAAGUGUCAGCGAGCCCACUAGGUGCACUCAGUCUCACCUGAUAUGAUACAGCCACAGUGCUUGAAACAGGUGAAUGAGAGAAGCAUUAAAGAGAAAAACAUUCAUAAUAUUUCAAAGGUUUUCAAAUAUAUUGUAGUUACCAAUUUUCUUAUGGGUGGAAAAAGCUUAUAGCCCCUUGUUAAAGAUUUUCCUUUUUUUUAUGGUUCACCGUGAAAAAAGUAGUGAACAUUAUAAAAAGAUUUGAGAUCUGUUUUUCAAAAAGGAUAACGAUACUUUUUCCCAUUCCCCAUUAAUUUCAGUAGAACUAAUAUCUGGCAUUAAAUUUGGAAAAGAGAUUAAGAGCUCAGAAUACUACACUUCAUUCUAGCAACCAUAACUAGUGAGUAACUUGAAAUGAGUAUGUGCCUGGCUGACCAGGAUUGUACUGUCAUUACACACACUGGAAAACAAUUCUGCCAUGUCAAUUUCUGUCCCAGUCAACAAGUGGAUUGGACAUGAAGACUGCUUGCUCCAAACUAAGUCUAUAUAACAAAGCAUUGCUCAUCUUCUAAGAGGACUGAGGUACUUUAAGUGAAUGAAGCUAUAGUUAUAUUUAAAAAGAUGAGCACACCUUCCUUUAAGAACAUGGUUAUUGGUUUCAGUGGAGUUUUGCCUACAUAAGAACUGCAGGAUUCUCAUUAUAGAAAUUACAUUAAAAAAAUCCUACUGCAGUUAUGGAAGAAAAUUUAAAACAUGCCAUUAAUACGAAGAAACAUGCAUAUUUUAUGCCUGUAAUUUAUUAUUUGCCUACCUAUUCAUUAUAAAUAUAAAAAUAUUUAUUAUGGGAAAGAACAGUAUUUAAAGCACUGAAGUAUCACCGACUAGUUACCAAUGUAUAAUCUCAGUUCCUUGUGAAAGGACUGAAAUAUCCAUCUCCCAUAGAUUAAGAUUGUCCUUUUAAUUUGCAUUAACAAUAUGACAAACUUUCUCAUUUCACAUUGACAUGCUAUAGAUCAAUUUUUAUAUAAAUUCUCUUCGUAACUAUCUAUGUUUUAUAGAAACAUUUUUUCAAAAGAAUGCAUAAUAAAAGACUUUUGAGUGCUUUUACAGUCCUUAGAUCAUUUUUUUAAAAUACGUUUCUUAAACUACAUUUUGCUGCUUUUCAUACAUAUAGAUAGAGCUUUGCUAGUAUCAAGGCAUUGGUGGAUAUAUCAUGACCUUUCCCCCUACCUGAUUAUGAAGACGACUGUGAAAUUUAAUAUGCUGUUUUAAUUCCAGACCAUUAUUUAGGGCUCAGUACUGGAAGGUGCUGAGCAUGUCUCGUGAAGUGCCCAGCAUUACCAAUUCAGACUGGAUGUCUUGCUUAGCACUGUGCAGGACUGUGUUAAUAAUACAAAACCCAUGGCACUUGUGUGAUGCAGUCAGGCACUGGUUAACAAAGCAGCCACAGUAUCAAGCAGGCUCAACCACCUACUGAUAAAAAAGAAACAUUUUAGAAUGCCUAAGAAAUCUUAGAUGAAAAACCACAUUAUCCACUCUUCUGAUGGGCAAAAUGUAUGAGUGCUGCUCACAGGGACUCCCAUUCACCCAGUCUAAAUAUCCCCUCUCUAGGAGUGAUUGAAGUGCACCCUUGAGUAGUCAUACCACAUUGUGCAUCCUAUGCAGAAGAGAUCCUUCAGCACAGACCAACAACUGACCCAGCCUUUGUAGCUGAUUUCUCAAUACAUAAAGUGCUGUUUUUGUCCUGGUUAAACUGAAAAAUACAUAAAUAACCAUGUAAAAAAUAAUAAAGAAAUGAAACAAAUGCAUCCAGUAGCACUUAUGAUGCGUUAAGGUAUGCGUAUUAAGGCACCACUUCCAGAUUAGUCCACCCAAUCAAUUUUAUUUCUGUUGUUUUUGUUGUUCUCUGCCCCUACCCCAUUUACCCAACUAGCAAUUUAGUUUUGUACGUUUAUUCUUGUGCUCAUCAUUAAGGAAAAUAAAUCUCAAAUUCCCUUUAAAGGUUCUGGAAGGAGACAUAUCUAAUUAUCAAAAUAUUUCAAACAUAAGGAAUUUCUGCAUUGUAAAAUGCAUCCCCCAAAAGGCAGGCCCCAAGUAACAUACUGUAAGCUUCAAUGCAUAACAGGUAACGCUGGAAAAUGGAAAGGUGUCAGUCGUGCAGAGCAUCAGAUCAGGCAAAAAUCUCCAUAAUCUCACUGACCUGUAUCCUCUGCCAGUUCAAUGGAAAUCAUCCAGGGCUACUCUCUACCCAUUGUAGUUAGGCUUCAGAACAGUUUCUCAGAGUCUUUAUUGUAUUUAUUUCAGCAAUGUUUUGGUAAACUAUGGAAAACUUGAGAGCAAUGAAAGAUUAAGGGAAAAUAAUAAUAAUAAUAAAAAAAAUCCAUAAGAUUUUUUAAUAUUCCCAUUUUUAAAAGCAUAGUUUCCAUUUUUCGGAAGUGUUUUUCCACUUAUAAUGUACAUUAGAAUAUAUUAAGAUAAUUGCUUAUGUUGAUAAGGAAGCAGGAUGCAGUUUUUUCUAAAACAGUCCAAGAGGAAAUGUUUCCUGUAUUUCAGUCAUUUCUAAAAGUCAUUGUAGCAGAUUUGACUCGUUUCCCACCCCUUCCACUUUCCAUUCGAGAUAUUAAGUCAAUUUGUAUUAUAUCUUGCUGGUCAGAUAGAAGAUAUGGGUGGUCCUUCUAUCAAUCAAAAUUGUAAUUACCUUUCCCGAUUGUCUCUGAUAUUUUAUUCAAAAAGUAUUAUGACUCCUAGGCAUUACAUUAAUACGAUGAUGGUUAUUUUUAUUGUUAAUAAUAAUAUUAAUGGAAUUUUUGAUACAUUAUAUGCAAUUCUAUAUGGCCUUUUCUUCACUUCUUCAUUCCCUCUUGUCUUUUUUGGAGUGUUUUUGUUUUGUUUUGUUUUGUUUUUAACUAUUUUAGGGGCAGUUCCAUAGGCUAGUGUUAAUGCUAAUGUUAAUAUAGGCUAUGUAAAACUCACAAUAAAUUGUCAGCCAUUCUUUGAGAAUUCACAGCACAUGUGUUACCCUGACUUCUUUGCAGAAGAUUUGAGGUACAAUCAUGUAAUGCAGAACUAAUUCUUUAUUAACCGGGCUCUCUGACUGAACUAAUAAUGGUAAACGUGAGCAAAAAGAACUUAAGAAGAGCCACUUGAUAUGAUAAAGGAUAGUUCUUUUACUAUUAUGAUGUAUAAUUUCCUGUCUUCCCCUGUAAAAAGACAAAAUUUAUAGCCAUUUCCUGCAUGUACCUUUUUCAUUUUAGUUUGACAAUCCUCAGCUUUUUUACUUCAGCGGUACCUUUGUCACUGGAACUGAGCAUUUGAAACUUCUUUCUAAUUUGAUAAAAUAUACAUAUGGCAUUAGCAUGCUAGAGGUAAAGGGUACUAACAUCAAAGUCUGCACAGCUCACAUUAGAAUGAUCUUAAAUGGGCAUUAUAUAUUUAUUUAGUGGGGAAAGAAGGAAGUCAGAAGCAGUUUAAAGGAUCUUAAUUUUACUAAAUGUUUCAGUGAAGAAUUUUAAUUAAUCUUCUUACUAAUAUCUUCACUUUGGUAAAGCAGUUUAAAAACAGCUAUCGCUUAUUUAGCAAUUUGGAUGCAGUUUCAAAACAGGUGUAUUGUUGCACUGCAACCCUUCAAGAGUUAAAUGAUGUACAUACAUACGAUAUCUUUAAACUUUCAACUUAGAAUUAUUGAUGGAUGUAAAGCCACUCACUCAAAAUCAUCUAACCUUCUUAACCGGUUAAAAGAGUAUAAUCCUCUCAGUUAUUAGGAGACCUUUGAAGUGAAACAGUGAAAUUCAGUCCUUCUGCCUGUUUUGAAAAUUCUCAUUGACUGUAGACUAAAUCACAGGGAAGUUUCGGCUGCAGCACUUUGUCUGCAGAGUGAGCUGUGGAUUACUUAGUUGAACUUUGCUCCAGUCAGGACUUUGUAGUGCUUAUAAAUCUUGAAUCCAUCUAAGUUCACCUUAAAUUAGCCUUGCAAAAACAAUCUCCAAACUUCAGCUGUCUGCUUGGUGGCUUCUGGCUAGGUGCCAUGCAGAAGCUGAGACACUGAUUAAUUGUCUUCAUUUCUUAAAAAUUCCUCACAUUUUAUUAAAAAUAAAAUAUCAUGGAAUAUACACUUUUGCUUUUCACUUCAUAAAACAACGGUGUUGGUUGGUUCUGUGCAGACCAUUGGCAGAUACAUUGCAUAUUAGAAAUUAAAUGGAAGAGAAACUUGAAAGCUUUACAAGUCCUGAAAGCUUUAUUGCACAAUAAUGCCACUGCUGCAUGAACAGCCUGGGACAGUGCCAAACAAGCAUGCCAAGAUACAACAGAUUUUUCAAUUUUCCAGCAAAUAGAAACAAAUUCUGGUUUCAGAAGGUGUACUCAACAAACACUUCUCAAUGUGUUUCUGAUUUGUGGUAAGAAUGUUUUUACUGCUGGUGCCCUGUACUUUUGAGACAUUUAUUUCCUAAAAGAAAGAUUCCUUUCUAUAAACCUCAACUGUCUGUUUUUCAAAGCAAUUUAAAAUCAAACACACAAAUAAAAUUUUUAACAUAUGGAAACUUUCAUAUAGAGUCUUACGUAUUCCAAGUUAAAAUUGUUUUAUAAACUGUAAUGCUUUGCAGACAAAAACACCGAGAAGAUGACUGUUUUUAGCAGUAAUGCUUUCUGACAGCGUUAAACCUUGUUUUAGGAAUUGACAUCAAAAUGUUUGGUGGUUUUAAAAUGGACCAUUAAUAAAAAUGGCAUGUUUUAAGUUUUAAAAAUUUUACUUAAUACUGUGAAGUUGUAUAGAAUUACAAAUUUGAUAUAGUAUUUUUUAAAAGAAAAUAAUCGUUUACGUCUUUAUGCUCAAAACAGUGCAGAUGCAUCUUUAAAGUAUUAUGUUGUCUCUUUGCUGUAAUAUGUAUCCCAGGAUUUGGAGUUUGAGGGUGGUUUUUUUAAUGUUCUUAUUAUGAUUUUUCAUUGCUGUAUCACAUAUAUUUUUAUUUCUUUUUCAAGUCAUUUCUUAUCUUCUCCACUAGCUGACUUUUCUCACCAGCUUUUUCCUCCUUUGUUUAAUACAAAGAGUCCAGCCUGAAGAUUGCUGUACAUGAAGUAGAGAAAUGUAUCAUUUAAACAUGAACAGAUGAUUAGCUUGCAUGCUGAAUACUUUUAAGAUGUGUACACUGAUACCUCUAAAGUAUUUUUGGAAUAGUAAACAUUAAUUUAUUAGGAAUGUUGCAAGCUUAAAAAACUGUUCAUAAGCAGUGGAUUUUAAAACUUUUUUAGUGGCUAAAGAGAUUCUAGAGGACUUAAUUACCCCACUUUAAAGGCAUAAAAUAUUUCAGUGAGAAAUUUUUCUUCCUCAUCUGCUGUAGUUCAUUCGGUUUUGAGACAAGUUUUGAUAUCUCAUUUUUGUAUAGACAAUAUCUGAAAGAAUUAAAAUGUUGAUGCACUGGUGCUGAAUAAAUGUGGGCAUUAGUUUUUUCCAUGAAGGUCCUGUUUACAAAGGAAUGAAGUGGAUGCUUACUUUUAGGCAUGUGUUUAAAUCUCUUUGACUCCUGCGCUGGGAGUCCUGUAUAUGUUUUCAAGUGCUUUAUUACAAUGAGUCAUAAAUUAAUUCACAUCUUCCUAUGGGCUGACUAUGUCUCCAUGGAAAAUUAGUCUGUUUUAGAAGCCAAAGGAAACAAUGAAAACGAACUGAUGACACGACGAGCCCACUUACAUGGAAGAAAUAAGUUGAUUUCAUCCCCAUGCUCAAACUUUAUAAUGGGGAGAGAGUGCACACCCUGUGCAACAGCUUCCUUAAUUACUAAUUUUCUGAAAGAAACAAAAGAUGGCAAAGAACAACAGCAAUCCCCCAGUGUAUGCUGAAUAAAGAGCACUGACUGGCUCUUUCUGGAGGAAUUCCAGUGACAAUUUUUUAUUGCUGCCAGUGUAAUGUUACUUUUCAGUCACUGAUCAUGAGAAAAAACAGAAGCAGAAAUGCAGGAAGCAAAUAUAAGUGCCAAGUGACUGAUCUGCCUCAGUAGGUAAACAGGCAAAAGGAAAGUUUCAAAAGGAAAUCAUUUAGAGCAGAGGCAUGAUCAGAGAGCCACUGAGGCUGUGGUUACACAUUCAGCAGCAGGGCUGCUUAAGCCUACUUAGACUUGGUUCCUGCUGUCCACCUCCCAUUCACUCCUUCCUUCACCCCUGACUUUGUUGUACUGGCACCACUGUUUGUGCAGCUGCAUGGUGAACAGUCUUGGGAACCUGGUCCCAGUGAAAAAUGACCCACCAGAAAUGGAUCAGUUCCCUUUCUGAUUUACUUCAGAGCCCCACAACUGGCUGUAUUGGCACAGCAGAGGUUAUGAUGUGGGAAUGAGACUGUGCAGCUGAGGAGAGGAGGAGCUGUUGAAGAAGGUCCUGUCAGCGAUACCGACAGGUCACAUCCCAUGGCUCAGAAGGGGUGUGCAUGGCUGUACCUCCAGCACAGCCAUGUGCCCUCUCUUCCUGAUAGUGCUGUCUUUGCUACAAGGAGUCUUAUUCUUUUUGAGAUUAACACACCUAAAUCAACAUACAGUUGCUUACAGUAUGAAAGCUAGGUUUCUAGGCUGCCAUCAUAAUCUACAGAGAUGUAGAUUUAUUAUUAUUAUUAUUUUAUUUUCAGUGGGAUAAAUAUAGGCAACUAGUGCUAUCUGAAACUGCCUGUCCUCCAUCAUCUGGCUGCAGAAGGACAUAGAUCCACCAUGUCACAUAUGCCAGCCCUCUGUGGAUGUCUCAGAUACCCCAAGGACCCUCAAAUGGCACUAGACAACUGUUUAUGAAACUGAGUCAAUCCCUUAAGGUGUCCUCAAUAUGUAUAAACAGAACAAUUUAAUGUAGAUGCCUACAGGUGGAAAUUCCCAUAAAUUUCCAGAUAUAUUCCAUUGGCUAAAUACAGAGAUCAACUGCUUUUAGAGAUAUUUUGAGAUGUCCUUACAGGGCUGGCAAAUACUCUGAACAAAUUAUGCUAUUUUGAAGACCUGUGCUAUUUUGAAAAAUUCGUUUGAGACGGGAUGUCCCAGGGCAUCUCAGAUGGCACAGAGCAAGAGGUGAGUCAACUGGACUGCACUCUAUUUGUCUCUUGCAUUUGGUUGCUAAUAUAUUGGGAUCAUUCCUCCUCCAAAUACUGCCAUCUCCUAUUGACAUCUCCCUAUUUAUUUAUGCUUAAUACAGAUAAUCAGCCAUAUCAGUCAUUGCAUGAGUUAACUCAUGGGAUGUGACUAGAUGGCUUCUUUCUUUACCAGCAGUGCAUGCCUCUUAAUAACUUUCCUUAGUAUUUUGUGAGUUUAAUCCAAAGAAUACUGAAAAACUCCCCUCAGACUUGCUGAACUUUAAGGCAUGAGAAAGCAAAUGGGUAUAAUAUCUUUCACAGGGUUCAUUAAAUUAAGUUGAUCUUCAUUUCUUUGUAAUCUGGAAGAGCCCUAAGAGAAGAAAGCAAUGUAUCUCAAGAAGCUGUUACAUUUGUCUGCUAGUAAAAAUAGAAUACUUUUACUGUUACAUAAACACAGAGUAGCUUCAUCACCUAUAAGACAGUUUAGUCACCUUUUCAUUACCUUUAACAAAGAGUUUCAUAAUUGUAAUCUCCUUGUAAUGAGACUGCUGUUACCAAAAGCAACAGCAGAAAACAGUAAGAAUGUCACAAACCAUUGACAUAUGCCUUUCUGAGGACCCACAAGAAAACCAACUAUACUGACCAUUUUUGAAAAAAAGGCAUGGGAACGCUUCCUAUAGGUAUUUAACCUAGGUGUCUCAAAUGUGUUUGUCUGUAAAAGUAACUGUAAACCGGACUGUAAAUGGAGACAGCAUUUUCAAUCACUGGAUAACAUAUAUUCUGAAGCUUAAUUUGUUUGUCUGAAGCCACAAACCAUAGUCAUCAAAAAAACUAAAUUAAUUAUCCAUAGCACACAAGCAAAGCAUAGUCACAACAUGCUUAGAUUAUGUCUCACUUAGUUUUCACUCCUCAUCCCUCCCAUUUAUCCUGAAUAUAGGAUUCAUUGAAAGAUCCUAAUUUUGUCUUUUUAUCUCAGGAAAUAUUUUUUCCACUACCACCAGUACACAUGGAGGAAACAAUAUACAGCAGGAAAAAAAAAAAAAAAAAAGUAUAAUAUAAGCUGACAAAAAUCAGAUACGGGAAAUCAAGGCAGAAGAAGAUAUUUUCUGCUGCAAUUCAACCUGCUUUUAAUGAGGGUCUUCUGGAAUAGCUCAUUUGAAGAUCAGCAUGGACAAGGCCACUGCAGCUUUCAACUCCUUGCAGGGUGUUCAGAAGCACAUUGUAUCUUUUCAACCUUUAGUAACAAAAUUCAAGUGAUCUAAAACUCAUUAGUUUAAUUCUGCAUUUAAAUGUAAUUGUAAUUUUAUUUUAUUUGUUUUUAUCUUUUCUAAAGCACUCUAAGAGGUCCUAAAGAAAGGUGUUACACAAUUGUAAGUGCUGAAGUGAUUGACAGAGUAUUUUACAACUGGCACUUAUUAUUCCUUUUAUUAAGAAUAAAGUGGCUUUUAGUCUAAAAACAAUAGGGUGAAAAGGGGUCUUUUAUGCACUCAUUAUAAGUAGAAAAUUGUAAGGAAAAAGUUGUAAUAAAAACUAAAUGAUUUUGGCAUGA
Long non-coding RNA from Anas platyrhynchos (mallard), 10095 nucleotides. RefSeq lists it as uncharacterized. The record is from RefSeq and is a predicted model, not a curated record. Lineage: Eukaryota; Metazoa; Chordata; Aves; Anseriformes; Anatidae.